Molecule: ribosomal RNA, 239 nt
Filed under: Prasinoderma coloniale
Lineage: Eukaryota; Viridiplantae; Prasinodermophyta; Prasinodermophyceae; Prasinodermales; Prasinodermaceae
Description: partial Bacterial small subunit ribosomal RNA
Rfam family: Bacterial small subunit ribosomal RNA
Source: RNAcentral
GUUUGAUCCUGGCCCCGAAUGAACGCUAGAGUUCUAUUUUACACAUGCGAGUCGAACGAGAGGUUUUUACCUUUAGUGGCACACGGGUGAGCACUUCCGGCUAUAUCUGAUGAGGAAGUUUGGUAUAUACCGACCGAGAGGACGAGGAAAUGCUAAAAUAUAAGAAGAUUAACUCGCUUCCUUUUAGGUAGCCGGCGGAUUAGCGGUUGUAGGUGAGGUAACGGCUACCUAGCCUAUGA